GUAGGAUCCUAGCGUUGUCCGGAUUUACUGGGUGUAAAGGGUGCGCAGGCGGACUUGUAAGUCAGGGGUGAAAUCUCGGCGCUUAACGCCGAAACUGCCUUUGAUACUAUAAGUCUUGAGUUUGGUAGAGAUCCGUGGAAUUCCGAGUGUAGCAGUGAAAUGUGUAGAUAUUCGGAAGAACACCAGCGGCGAAGGCAGCGGAUUGGGCCAAUACUGACGCUCAGGCACGAAAGCAUGGGGAUCAAACAGGAUUAGAUACCCUGGUAGUCCAUGCCCUAAACGAUGUACACUUGAUGUCGGUCUUUAACGGGUCGAUGUCGGAGCUAACGUGUUAAGUGUACCACCUGGGGAGUACGCUCGCAAGGGUG
This 368-nucleotide ribosomal RNA is filed under the name uncultured organism. RNAcentral's name for it is "bacterial SSU rRNA". It matches the Rfam family "Bacterial small subunit ribosomal RNA", at positions 527 to 896 of the family's 1533-position model. The record is from RNAcentral.